This 94-nucleotide ribosomal RNA is filed under the name Dressleria dilecta. RNAcentral describes it as "5.8S ribosomal RNA". It matches the Rfam family "5.8S ribosomal RNA", at positions 1 to 89 of the family's 154-position model. Rfam says of the family: 5.8S ribosomal RNA (5.8S rRNA) is a component of the large subunit of the eukaryotic ribosome. It is transcribed by RNA polymerase I as part of the 45S precursor that also contains 18S and 28S rRNA. Functionally, it is thought that 5.8S rRNA may be involved in ribosome translocation. The record is from RNAcentral. Lineage: Eukaryota; Viridiplantae; Streptophyta; Magnoliopsida; Asparagales; Orchidaceae. RNAcentral also lists the same sequence under 1 other name.
GACAUGACUCUCGACAAUGGAUAUCUCGGCUCUCGCAUCGAUGAAGAGCGCAGCGAAAUGCGAUACGUGGUGCGAAUUGCAGAAUCCCGCGAAC